Molecule: ribosomal RNA, 368 nt
Filed under: uncultured organism
Description: bacterial LSU rRNA
Rfam family: Bacterial large subunit ribosomal RNA
Source: RNAcentral
CUUUACUGUAACCUGGUAUUGGGUUCGGGCUUUGACUGCGCAGGAUAGGUGGGAGACUAUGAAGCAAUCCUUGUGGGGAUUGUGGAGUCAACAGUGAGAUACCACUCUGUCAGAGCUAGAAUUCUAACCUUCACCCGUUAUCCGGGGAAGGAACCGUAUCAGGCGGGCAGUUUGACUGGGGCGGUCGCCUCCUAAAUGGUAACGGAGGCGCGCAAAGGUGUUCUCAGGCUGGUUGGAAAUCAGCCGCAGAGUGCAAAGGCAGAAGAACGCUUGACUGUGAGAGUGACAACUCGAGCAGGGUGGAAACACGGCCUUAGUGAUCCGACGGCUUGUGCGUGGAAAUGCCGUCGCUCAACGGAUAAAAGUUA